CCUACGGGUGGCAGCAGUGGGGGAUAUUGCACAAUGGGGGGAACCCUGAUGCAGCGACGCCGCGUGGGUGAAGGAGUGCUUCGGCAUGUAAAGCCCUAUCGGCAGGGAAGAAGCAAGACGGUACCUGACUAAGAAGCCCCGGCUAACUACGUGCCAGCAGCCGCGGUAAUACGUAGGGGGCGAGGGUUAUCCGGAUUCACUGGGUGUAAAGGGAGCGUAGACGGCCAUGCAAGCCAGGGGUGAAAACCCGGGGCCCAACCCCGGGACUGCCCUUGGGACUGUGCGGCUAGAGUGCGGGAGGGGCAGGCGGAAUUCCUGGUGUAGCGGUGAAAUGCGUAGAUAUCAGGAGGAACACCGGCGGCGAAGGCGGCCUGCUGGACUGCGACUGACGUUGAGGCUCGAAAGCGUGGGGAGCGAACAGGAUUAGAUACCCGGGUAGUC
Molecule: ribosomal RNA, 441 nt
Filed under: uncultured bacterium
Lineage: Bacteria
Description: partial 16S ribosomal RNA
Rfam family: Bacterial small subunit ribosomal RNA
Source: RNAcentral